GGUUACUGCUAUCGGUGUUCGCCUAAGCCAUGCGAGUCAUAUGUUCUUCGGAACAUGGCGUACUGCUCAGUAACACGUGGAUAACCUGCCCUUGGGUCCGGCAUAACCCCGGGAAACUGGGGAUAAUUCCGGAUAACGCAUAUAUGCUGGAAUGCUUUCUGCGUAAAAUGGAUUCGUCUGCCCAAGGAUGGGUCUGCGGCCUAUCAGGUAGUAGUGGGUGUAAUGUACCUACUAGCCGACGACGGGUACGGGUUGUGAGAGCAAGAGCCCGGAGAUGGAUUCUGAGACAUGAAUCCAGGCCCUACGGGGCGCAGCAGGCGCGAAAACUUUACAAUGCGGGAAACCGUGAUAAGGGGACACCGAGUGCCAGCAUCAUAUGCUGGCUGUCCGGGUGUGUAAAAUACACCCGUUAGCAAGGGCCGGGCAAGACCGGUGCCAGCCGCCGCGGUAACACCGGCGGCCCGAGUGGUGAUCGUGAUUAUUGGGUCUAAAGGGUCCGUAGCCGGUUUGGUCAGUCCUCCGGGAAAUCUGAUAGCUCAACUAUUAGGCUUUCGGUGGAUACUGCCAGGCUUGGAACCGGGAGAGGUAAGAGGUACUACAGGGGUAGGAGUGAAAUCUUGUAAUCCCUGUGGGACCACCUGUGGCGAAGGCGUCUU
This 656-nucleotide ribosomal RNA is filed under the name uncultured archaeon. RNAcentral's name for it is "bacterial SSU rRNA". It matches the Rfam family "Archaeal small subunit ribosomal RNA", at positions 21 to 678 of the family's 1478-position model. The record is from RNAcentral.